RNAcentral lists this unclassified non-coding RNA (329 nucleotides) under Hevea brasiliensis (rubber tree). Lineage: Eukaryota; Viridiplantae; Streptophyta; Magnoliopsida; Malpighiales; Euphorbiaceae. The record is from RNAcentral.
GGACCAGUAUGCUUUUUGACGAAAUUCUCGUCUGCGAAUUUGGAGCCGUAGAUUGAUUCACCACCGGUACCGUUUCCGGCAGUGAAAUCACCCCCUUGGCACAUAAAUCCUGGGAUCACACGGUGGAAACUUGAUCCUUUGUAGUGUAACGGCUUGCCGGCCUUCCCUACGCCUUUCUCUCCGGUACAGAGUGCUCGGAAAUUUUCCGCUGUUUUAGGAGUUGCAUCAUUGAACAAUUCCAUUACUACACGGCCGGCCGCUUGACCUCCGAUGGUAAGGUCGAAGAAAACCUUAGGGUUUGCCAUUUCUCUCUUCUAGAAACUUCUUUU